GACGUAACAGAUAAACAAACAAAUAUGUAAUUACAUGUUUUAAAGCUAGGUAUUCUUAAUAAUAAAUCUUAAAUUUAAAAACAAAAAAUUUAAUUUAUCAUAUCAAAAAGAUAGGAUCAAUCGGGAGCAACUUACGCGACACCCUCACAGCAGGAACCCUCCAGCAGCCAUUUUGGAUUGCAAGCAGCCGACCACAAUCCCUUGCGUGAAAUUAAAAAACAUGGCGGGUUGUAUUGAAACGGCGAGUGCAUGUGUUUAUGGGAAAUAGAUUCUCCAUUUCUCUAACUUUCUGGCAGUGAUAUAGUAAAUGUACUCUAAAUUAAGAUUUAUACUUUUAAGAACUGUUUGGGGAAGAUAUUGAGUGAUUGCGAUUACAAUUGGUAAUAAAUAUUAUAGGCAGGAUGUUCCUGAAAUCUUUAUUAAGCUGAAUAUAAAGUACAUCAGAAGUUAAUAUUGAAUAUCUUCUAAUUCAUUAGCAAGAUUGUAAAAAAAUGAAGGUAAUAAAGUUGAUUUAAGUUCAUGCUA
Molecule: long non-coding RNA, 525 nt
Organism: Stegodyphus dumicola
Lineage: Eukaryota; Metazoa; Arthropoda; Arachnida; Araneae; Eresidae
Source: RefSeq, a predicted model, not a curated record